Long non-coding RNA from Homo sapiens (human), 527 nucleotides. RefSeq lists it as uncharacterized. The record is from RefSeq and is a predicted model, not a curated record. The transcript is spliced from 4 exons. Lineage: Eukaryota; Metazoa; Chordata; Mammalia; Primates; Hominidae.
AGGGGGUUAUGAGGACUUGAGAGAUGCGGUCCUGCACAGUCUCUGGAGGGAAUGUGCCUAAUUCAGGGGCAGGUCACGUGGGUGAGUGAAGCAGGCUGCUGUGGCGCAGUAUGUUGAAGAAUGAAUGUUCAUUUAUUUGAAGCCGCCUUGACCCUGAUCCAGCCGCCUGGGUUGCUGCUGCCGGGGAAGGCAGGCCUGGUGUGGACGGACCCCCUGACUUUUCAAGACACACUGGAGGUCACUGAGCCAUGUUUUGAGUCAGUUCUGCAUCUCAUCAAGACACAGGUAAUCAGAAGAGGGGUUUGGAAACUCAAGAGCACAUAAGUGAACAAAACAUCAAGCUUGCUCUUAAAAGUUUUUCAAUCUUACGCAUGUUGAAAUGGCCUCACUCCAGUCUUGCUCGAAGUCUGCUGGGUAAACUGCAAGUUCUAACAGACUAAGAGGAAGUGCUUCAGUCACCUAAGAUGAGGGAACUUGAGACACAGAGAGGAUAAAUAACUCAUCUCGGGAGUCACAGCUAGCAGAAG